UUACGGGAGGCAGCAGUAAGGAAUUUUGCACAAUGGGCGAAAGCCUGAUGCAGCAACGCCGCGUGAGGGAUGAAGGCCUUCGGGUUGUAGACCUCUUUUCUCAGGGACGAUGAUGACGGUACCUGAGGAAUAAGCCACGGCUAACUACGUGCCAGCAGCCGCGGUAAUACGUAGGUGGCAAGCGUUGUCCGGAUUUACUGGGCGUAAAGAGCGCGCAGGCGGUCGUUCAAGUCGAAUGUGAAAGCCCCCGGCUCAACUGGGGAGGGUCAUUCGAUAUUGAUCGACUCGAAGGCAGGAGAGGGAAGCGGAAUUCCCGGUGUAGUGGUGAAAUGCGUAGAUAUCGGGAGGAACACCAGUGGCGAAGGCGGCUUCCUGGCCUGUUCUUGACGCUGAGGCGCGAAAGCCAGGGGAGCAAACGGGAUUAGAUACCCUGGUAGA
Molecule: ribosomal RNA, 438 nt
Filed under: uncultured bacterium
Lineage: Bacteria
Description: bacterial SSU rRNA
Rfam family: Bacterial small subunit ribosomal RNA
Source: RNAcentral